CAACUUACCUUUUACUAGAGAAUAGCCAAGAGAAAUUUUGAUUAAUGCUCUAUACACUUAUUAAUUCUCAUGAAUCUAUAAGAAAAGCUCCGGCGGUAAAAGAUGGGCAUGCGUCCUAUUAGCUUGUAGGUGAGGUAACGGCUCACCUAAGCUCCGAUAGGUAGGGGUCCUGAGAGGGAGAUCCCCCACACUGGUACUGAGACACGGACCAGACUUCUACGGAAGGCAGCAGUAAGGAAUAUUGGACAAUGGAGGCAACUCUGAUCCAGCGAUGCCGCGUGAAGGAAGACGGCCCUAUGGGUUGUAAACUUCUUUUAUACAGGAAGAAACCUUUCCACGUGUGGAAAGCUGACGGUACUGUAAGAAUAAGGAUCGGCUAACUCCGUGCCAGCAGCCGCGGUAAUACGGAGGAUCCAAGCGUUAUCCGGAAUUAUUGGGUUUAAAGGGUCCGCAGGCUGUUUGUUAAGUCAGGGGUGAAACCCUACCGCUCAACGGUAGAACUGCCUUUGAUACUGGCAAACUUGAGUUAUUGUGAAGUAGUUAGAAUGUGUAGUGUAGCGGUGAAAUGCAUAGAUAUUACACAGAAUACCGAUUGCGAAAGCAGAUUACUAACAAUAUACUGACGCUGAGGGACGAAAGCGUGGGUAGCGAACAGGAUUAGAUACCCUGGUAGUCCACGCCGUAAACGAUGGUCACUAGCUGUUUGAUGUACAUUGGUACAUUGAGUGGCUAAGCGAAAGUGAUAAUGACCCACCUGGGA
Molecule: ribosomal RNA, 760 nt
Filed under: uncultured Bacteroidota bacterium
Lineage: Bacteria; Pseudomonadati; Bacteroidota
Description: bacterial SSU rRNA
Rfam family: Bacterial small subunit ribosomal RNA
Source: RNAcentral